CACUGGUGCUCCCCUACUGCAGCUCCAGGUACCACUGCAGAAGUCGUAGGUGCACAUGGUGUGGCCGAUGAGCGUGGGAAAGUCGGGAAUCUCCCUGCUGCAGGCGAGCAGUUCCUCUGCGAGGUCCUUGUCCAGCUCGGUGCUCCGCACCACCACAUCGCCCAGCACUACCUGCUCGAAACGUGGCUGGAAGGAGGAGUCCACGGCCGUGUCGGUGAUCACAACAGACCCAGCCUUGAUCCCUGUGGAAAUGGAAGCUGAGGCUGCCAGAGCUCAUAACACCUGUGUUCUGCUGCCAAACUUCAGCACAACAGGAAAAUCUCAAUAGAUCUA
Corvus hawaiiensis (hawaiian crow) is the source of this 333-nucleotide long non-coding RNA. RefSeq lists it as uncharacterized. Lineage: Eukaryota; Metazoa; Chordata; Aves; Passeriformes; Corvidae. The transcript has 2 exons. The record is from RefSeq and is a predicted model, not a curated record.